Molecule: ribosomal RNA, 381 nt
Filed under: marine copepod environmental sample
Lineage: Eukaryota; Metazoa; Arthropoda; Copepoda
Description: SSU rRNA
Rfam family: Eukaryotic small subunit ribosomal RNA
Source: RNAcentral
AGCUCCAAUAGCGUAUAUUAAAGUUGUUGUGGUUAAAAAGCUCGUAGUUGGAUCUCAACAGACUUGGAUCGGUUUACUUUGUGUAAUACUGAUCCAAAGCUGUGCUUUUGUCGGAGGUUUAGGGGUGCUCUUAACCGAGUGUCUCUGAGUGCCGACAGGUUUACUUUGAAAAAAUUAGAGUGCUUCAAGCAGGCUGUUAUGCCAGAAUAUUUGUGCAUGGAAUAAUAGAAUAGGAUGUUGAUCUUAUUUUGUUGGUUUUCGAGACUUGACAUAAUGAUUAAUAGGGACAGUCGGGAGCACUCGUAUUCCGCCGAGAGAGGUGAAAUUCUCAGACCAGCGGAAGACGAACUACUGCGAAAGCAUUUGCCAGGGAUGUUUUCA